CGUUGUUCGGAAUUACUGGGCGUAAAGGGCUCGUAGGCGGCCAACUAAGUCAGACGUGAAAUCCCUCGGCUUAACCGGGGAACUGCGUCUGAUACUGGAUGGCUUGAAUUCGGGAGAGGGAUGCGGAAUUCCAGGUGUAGCGGUGAAAUGCGUAGAUAUCUGGAGGAACACCGGUGGCGAAGGCGGCAUCCUGGACCAACACUGACGCUGAGUGAGCGAAAGCCAGGGGAGCAAACGGG
Molecule: ribosomal RNA, 239 nt
Filed under: uncultured bacterium
Lineage: Bacteria
Description: partial 16S ribosomal RNA
Rfam family: Bacterial small subunit ribosomal RNA
Source: RNAcentral